UACGGAGGGAGCUAGCGUUGUUCGGAAUUACUGGGCGUAAAGCGCGCGUAGGCGGCUUUGUAAGUUAGAGGUGAAAGCCCGGGGCUCAACUCCGGAACUGCCUUUAAGACUGCAUCGCUUGAAUCCGGGAGAGGUGAGUGGAAUUCCGAGUGUAGAGGUGAAAUUCGUAGAUAUUGGGAAGAACACCGGUGGCGAAGGCGGCUCUCUGGACCGAUACUGACGCUGAGGCGCGAAAGCGUGGGGAGCAAACAGG
This 253-nucleotide ribosomal RNA is filed under the name uncultured bacterium. RNAcentral describes it as "partial 16S ribosomal RNA". It matches the Rfam family "Bacterial small subunit ribosomal RNA", at positions 524 to 776 of the family's 1533-position model. The record is from RNAcentral.